RNAcentral lists this long non-coding RNA (838 nucleotides) under Canis lupus dingo (dingo). RNAcentral's name for it is "lncRNA (ENSCAFG00020025265.1)". Lineage: Eukaryota; Metazoa; Chordata; Mammalia; Carnivora; Canidae. The record is from RNAcentral.
UUCCCUUGGUUCUCAGCCUUUGUCCUUCAUCUCCCAGAGAGAGGCCAUGGGACAAGAAUAAAUUUGUGAACCAGGCUGAAAACUAGGCCCCAGCGACGAGGCCUCGCCCGAGCGUCGGACAGGCUCACGCAGCCCCCGAGCACCCGGCGCUACCGGUCGGCCUCUUGGCCCCGCCCCUCGCCGCGCUGCCGACCAAUCCUGGGCUCCGCUCCCCGCGCGUCACAGAGGCGCCGCUGGGGGGCUUCCCGCAGGCGGGCGCUCGGCGCGGUGUUGCCAUGGGGACUGCAAACAGCCGGGGCCGGGCGGAGAGAGGAGGACUUUCCCUAGAGGAAGCGGCCUCACCUCGGGAGACGCGCACAGGUACCCAAGGAGCAGAGCCCAGGCCUGUCACUGUCUGUCUAUUCAUGGAGUUUGUAAGUGAGCAUGAAGGCCCAUUGACUGAAGAUGUGUGACUUUGUUCCCCUUGGACACUGAGGGCAAUGCAGUACCAAUGCACAACGCAAUGACACACAAGUCUCCAUGGAUUCCUGAAACACAGAAGCUCACCCAGAGAGUCUGCUGUGCACUGCGGGAUGGGCACCAUCCAUCCUGUCAAAAGGAACUAGGAUAUGAAGAAUUCAGAGUUUAUGACCAUGUUCCUGCUGGACUCUUGAAAAAGCACUUUACUCGUCAUCCCAUUUGGCCCUCAGGACUGUGCUGUGAGGGAGAUGGGGUCCCCAAGGGUGACAAGUUACCAUACCUCCUCCUCCACAAUAAGGACAGUGUCAGGAGAGCCACACUAAAGAGCUCCUGGUGCUUCACCUCAGUCAGAACCUACAACCACCAAUUUUUGAAGUGA